This 330-nucleotide ribosomal RNA is filed under the name uncultured eukaryote. Its description in RNAcentral is "partial 18S ribosomal RNA". It matches the Rfam family "Eukaryotic small subunit ribosomal RNA", at positions 1470 to 1796 of the family's 1831-position model. The record is from RNAcentral.
CCCUUAGAUGUUCGGGGCCGCACGCGCGCUACACUGAAGGAAUCAGCACGUCUUUCUCCUUGUCCGAAAGGACUGGGUAACCCGCUGAACCUCCUUCGUGCUAGGGAUUGGGGCUUGUAAUUCUUCCCCAUGAACGAGGAAUUCCCAGUAAGCGCGAGUCAUAAGCUCGCGUUGAUUACGUCCCUGCCCUUUGUACACACCGCCCGUCGCUACUACCGAUUGGAUGGUUUAGUGAGAUCCUCGGAUUGGUCCCGGCGCGGCCUCUGGUCGUGCCGGAGUGCUGAAAAGAAUGUCGAACUUGAUCAUCUAGAGGAAGUAAAAGUCGUAACA